UGGUGGAGUGAUUUGUCUGGUUAAUUCCGUUAACGAACGAGACCACAGCCUCUAAUUACUUCGGCAUGAGUUCUUCAUGUUUGAGGUCCUAGAGGGACUGUCGGUGAUCAACCGACGGAAGUGUGUGGCAAUAACA
Molecule: ribosomal RNA, 136 nt
Filed under: uncultured eukaryote
Lineage: Eukaryota
Description: partial 18S ribosomal RNA
Rfam family: Eukaryotic small subunit ribosomal RNA
Source: RNAcentral